GACGAACGCUGGCGGCGUGCCUAAUACAUGCAAGUAGGACGCAGGUGCGAACGGGUGAGUAACGCGUAGGUAACUACCCAGGAGAGGGGGGUAACUAUUGGAAACAAUAGCUAAUAGCGCAUACUAGUAAAUGGACCUGCGUUGUAUUAGCUAGGAGGUAGGGUAAUGGCCUACCUAGGCAACGAUACAUAGCCGGCCUGCGAGGGUGGUCGGCCACACUGGGACUGAGUAACGGCACAGACGCCCACGGGAGGCAGCCGUAGUGCAUCUUCGGGAAUGGGGGGAACCCUGACCGAGAUACGCCGCGUGCGUGAAGAACGUUUUCGGAUCGUAAAGCUCUGUUGUUGAGGAAUCGGUACUUAUCCAGAAAGGGACGGCUAACUACGUGCCAGCAGCCGCGGUAAUUC
This 407-nucleotide ribosomal RNA is filed under the name uncultured bacterium. Its description in RNAcentral is "partial 16S ribosomal RNA". It matches the Rfam family "Bacterial small subunit ribosomal RNA", at positions 28 to 526 of the family's 1533-position model. The record is from RNAcentral.